This 484-nucleotide ribosomal RNA is filed under the name uncultured bacterium. Its description in RNAcentral is "partial 16S ribosomal RNA". It matches the Rfam family "Bacterial small subunit ribosomal RNA", at positions 30 to 507 of the family's 1533-position model. The record is from RNAcentral.
AUUGAACGCUGGCGGCAUGCCUAACACAUGCAAGUCGAGCGGAAAAAGGUCGUCUGCUGCUGACGUGAGCCGCAGACGGGUGAAGUACGUCUUAACAUCCGCAUUGUAGUGGGAUAUAACGUCGUAAGCUGUGCUAUAAUACCGCAUGCCUUCUGGGUGAAAGCGUGGGGGAUCGUAGGAAUUCACGCUCUCGCGCCAUGCUAUGUCGGAUUAGCCAUUUGGUGGGGUAAAGGCCUACCAAGUCGACUAUCCGUAACUGGUCUGAGAGGAUGAUCAGCCACCCUGGGACUGAGACACGGACCAGACUCCUACGGGAGGCAGCAGCGGGGAAUAUUGGACUAUGGGCGAAAGCCUGAUCCAGCAAUGCCGCGUGCGUGAAGAAGGUCUUCGGAUUGUAAAGCCCUUUUAUUCGGAAGGAAAAGGCUUUGGUUAAUACCUGGGUCUGAUGACGUUACCGUAAGAAUAAGCACCGGCUAACUUCGUG